RNAcentral lists this ribosomal RNA (500 nucleotides) under uncultured bacterium. RNAcentral's name for it is "partial 16S ribosomal RNA". It matches the Rfam family "Bacterial small subunit ribosomal RNA", at positions 30 to 523 of the family's 1533-position model. The record is from RNAcentral.
AUUGAACGCUGGCGGCAGGCCUAACACAUGCAAGUCGAGCGGCAGCGGGACCUUCGGGUUGCCGGCGAGCGGCGGACGGGUGAGUAAUGCCUAGGAAUCUGCCUGUUAGUGGGGGAUAACGCGGGGAAACUCGCGCUAAUACCGCAUACGUCCUACGGGAGAAAGCGGGGGCUCUUCGGACCUCGCGCUAACAGAUGAGCCUAGGUCGGAUUAGCUAGUUGGUGGGGUAAUGGCCCACCAAGGCGACGAUCCGUAACUGGUCUGAGAGGAUGAUCAGUCACGCUGGAACUGAGACACGGUCCAGACUCCUACGGGAGGAAGCAGUGGGGAAUAUUGGACAAUGGGCGAAAGCCUGAUCCAGCCAUGCCGCGUGUGUGAAGAAGGUCUUCGGAUUGUAAAGCACUUUAAGUCGGGAGGAAGGGCUGUAGGCUAAUACCUUGCAGUUUUGACGUUACCGACAGAAUAAGCACCGGCUAACUUCGUGCCAGCCGCCGCCGUAA